Ribosomal RNA from Mastacembelus armatus (zig-zag eel), 119 nucleotides. NCBI's taxonomy places the organism in Eukaryota, Metazoa, Chordata, Actinopteri, Synbranchiformes, Mastacembelidae. The record is from Ensembl.
GCCUACGGCCACACCGUCCUGCCGGCGCCCGAUCCCGUCCGAUCUCGGAAGCUAAGCAGGACCGGGCCUGGUUAGUACUUGGACGGGAGACCGCCUGGGAAUACCAGGUGCUGUAGGCU